This 253-nucleotide ribosomal RNA is filed under the name uncultured bacterium. RNAcentral describes it as "partial 16S ribosomal RNA". It matches the Rfam family "Bacterial small subunit ribosomal RNA", at positions 524 to 776 of the family's 1533-position model. The record is from RNAcentral.
UACGUAGGGUCCGAGCGUUGUCCGGAAUUAUUGGGCGUAAAGAGCUCGUAGGCGGUUUGUCGCGUCUGCUGUGAAAUCCCGAGGCUCAACCUCGGGCCUGCAGUGGGUACGGGCAGACUGGAGUGCGGUAGGGGAGAAUGGAAUUCCUGGUGUAGCGGUGGAAUGCGCAGAUAUCAGGAGGAACACCAACGGCGAAGGCAGCUCGCUGGGACGGUACUGACGCUGAGGCGCGAAAGCGUGGGGAGCAAACAGG